RNAcentral lists this ribosomal RNA (255 nucleotides) under uncultured bacterium. Its description in RNAcentral is "partial 16S ribosomal RNA". It matches the Rfam family "Bacterial small subunit ribosomal RNA", at positions 524 to 776 of the family's 1533-position model. The record is from RNAcentral.
GACGUAGGUGGCGAACGUUAUCCGGAAUUAUUGGGCGUAAAGGAUGCGUAGAUGGUGUAGUAAGUUAUCGGUGGCAAAUCGAGGCUCAACCUCGUGGAAGUCGGUAAUGCUGCUAUGCUAGAGGAUAGGAGAGGUUAACGGAACUCCCUGUGGAGCGGUGAAAUGCGUAGAUAUAGGGAAGAACACCAAUCAGGCGAAGGCAGUUAACUAUUCUAUUCCUGACAUUGAGGCAUGAAAGCGUGGGGAGCAAAACGG